CCUGCCUUGCGUACUAUGUGUCCACACCUUUCCCUAGUGCAUCUGGCCACCCCACUGUGAUCCCAUGUCCCACCCCUCAACUACCUACCCUUCCUCAGGUGCCAUCUGGGAUUAUUCUCCAGAAUAAGGCUGGGGGUACUCCCACCACCCCACAGACAUCCACCACCCUGGGGACCCUCACCAGUCCUACUGCCUCUGUGCUAGUCAGUGGACAGGCACCACCUGGGACUCCUGCUGCCUCUAGCCAUGCCCCAGCCUCCACACCUAUGGCCACCACAGGUCUCCCUCCUCUACUUCCUGCCGAAAACAAAGCUUUUGCCAGCAACCUUCCAACCCUGAGUGUGGCCAAAGCUACUGUGUCUGGGCCAGGGAAGUCCCCAGCGAUGCAGUAUGACAGCAAGUUGGGUAGCCUGAAGAAACAGCCCCUUCUGCAACCCAGCAAAGAAGCCUGGUGAGUACAGCUACCUACCCCAACAUAUCUGCCCCACUCCCACCGCUCCUCAAAGCACCGCUCCAACCAGUGUGUGGAUUCCCCUUUGAUCUCAGUUUUCCUUCUGCCAA
This 561-nucleotide long non-coding RNA is filed under the name Rattus norvegicus (Norway rat). RNAcentral describes it as "long non-coding RNA NONRATT002326". The record is from RNAcentral. Lineage: Eukaryota; Metazoa; Chordata; Mammalia; Rodentia; Muridae.